UGAUCACCUUCUGCAGGUGGCUAUCUCAGUGCAACCAUUGAAGGUACAAAACUGGAUUCUUCCUGAAAUGCCUGGGCUAAUAACAGACUUUCUAAUCUCUCUUGAUGAUCGGUUUUUGUAUUUCGUCAACUGGCUUCAUGGGGAUGUCCGGCAAUAUAAUAUCGAGGACCCUAAGAAUCCGGUCUUGGCUGGUCAAGUGUGGGUUGGUGGACUGGUUCAAAAGAGAAGCCCUAUAGUGGCUGUUACUGAAGAUGGCCACACAUGGCAGUCCAAUGUUCCUGAGAUUCAGGUCUUUCUGAUAUUCACUGCAAAAAUCCCAUUGUUUUGAAAACAAUUGAUAACCAUGUUUUCUGGUUUUACAGGGACGUAGUCUGAGAGGGGGACCGCAGAUGAUCCAGUUGAGCUUAGAUGGGAAACGCCUAUACGUAACGAACUCACUGUUCAGCACAUGGGAUCGACAGUUCUAUCCUGAACUCAUGGAGAAGGGUUCCCACAUGUUGCAGAUCGAUGUUGACACCGAGAAAGGAGGACUUAAGAUAAACCCCAACUUUUUCGUGGACUUCGGAGCAGAACCAGAUGGUCCCUCCCUCGCACAUGAGAUGAGAUAUCCAGGUGGUGACUGCACUUCCGACAUUUGGAUUUAAAGCAUGCAAAUCCAGUCCCUUCUAACGUAGUAGUAAGACAAUCAAUAAACGCAGUUUCUCUGAAAACAUGUCAAGGCAGGGGAUUGAUCUUGAAUGAUAUACUGCAUAUGUUCAUCAAUUGUAUAUCAGCAGCUCAAUUUGCUGUCAUGAAAAAUUGAAAUAAGUGAAUAAAGGGUCCAAAUUGCAUUGAUUACUGCAUGGAAGUCGUAUGUUAUUCGGAAUAUGUUUGUGUACAGUUGGCCUGAUGGUGAAUUGAAGAAAACAUUGUAUCUAGGAAUAUGAACCGACUAUAUCCAGUCAGAAAUUCCCAUCGCCCCAAACUAUAAAGACAAAGCUAUGUUUAAGGAACCAAAACCAGACCUUCACCUGACCCAAUACUGAAUGAGCAUCUCCAUUAAUGAUUAAAGUGAUUUAAAUUGUGGACUCCAAUCAUAUUUACUAUGCUUGUUAAAGGGAAAUUAUUCAAAUUCUUUUAACUUAAAUAUUGAAAAUAUAUGUAUUCUUUUUUGGGAAGCACACAUAACAUCACAAGUACAAUUACAAAGGAUAUAUCUAAAUAUUUAUAAUCGGAAUUUUUCAUUACAAAGCAGGAUAGGACACAUGGCCAAAAUAAAUCUAUAUAGGAUAUGCAUAUGAAGAGACAUAAGCCAUAAUAAAUAUAGAAUAAGAACUCAUGCAUAGUUUACAACAAGUAUUGGGCUGAUCUUGACAUUAAUUUUUGGAAGCCUAAUUAAUUCUUUUAAAAAAAAUUGGGAAUGUAAUUUAAACUUUUAAGAACUUUUAGGAAGCUUAAUGAAAAAUAUAAAAACUUUAAAUGUUUAAUUAAAUUUUUCAAAAUUUUUAAAGGAUUUAAUUAUAAUUUUUUAAAUUUUUGGAGGGCCAAGCCCCCUUCCCCAACUCCUAUAAGGAUGAGUCUUAAAGUUCUCAUUGUCUUAACAUUGCGAUUAAACUAAGGCUUCAUUAAUUUCAUGUUCAUUAAAAAAAUAAUUAUUAAUGACAAUUAUAUUUUAUGUUAGUGCAUAAUGAUUUGUGGUACAAGUUGUGCCCACAUAACAAACCACAACUCAUUUCAUUGUUGGUAAUUUUUUACUUUGUAUUUCUCUUUAUCUUUAUAGUUAUCUUAUAAGCAGUAAAAAAAAUGGGAUAUCUAUCUACUUGAUGCAACACACUUAGAAGCAAUUUAAAUUGCAAUUACGAUCGCGUUUUUUGCCGCGCUGCUUUUACCGUAAUUGUGGUUAUUGUGGGCAAAACGUGUAACACCCCAAACCCGGCCUAGGUAUCAAGGCCAAGUCAAAAGAGUUACACUAAUGUUGCUAGGAAAACCAACUUAUAUAAACACAAUUAAAACCGUUUAACAGAUUGAACAAUCAUAAAAUUCAGUUGAUAAACCAUCAAUCUUGGAAAGUCAUAAUACGAAGGAGUAUUGAAAUUGCUAAUAAUAUAGACAAAAGGGUGAUAAAGUAGGUUGACCGAGCUUCCACUACGCUGACCAGAUCAAGACUGUGAGUUACCUGAAAUUCAAUCAACAACAAAAUAAGUAGAAAACUCAGUUUAUAACCAAUAUAGAUUCAAUUAGAAGCACAAUUAUAGUAAUAAAUUCCUAAGUUUAAGUUUUAUUUAGAAUUAGAGAUUAACCAGUACAGUUUUUCACAUCAAUUGAAUGGCAGAACAAUUCCAGUCCAGAUGCAGAACAAAUUAGAAAUAGAUGCAGUUAUUCCUACCCCUUUAAAACCCCUUCGGCCCUACACACCAUAUAGUGUCGGUCUGACACGUUUAGUGUACUUGCAAACCAGCUAUCAGAUCAAAUUUGCAAUAAAACGCCAGAUUAACAUAUAGAUUGUGGCCUAUCCACAAAAUCAGAACAUAUCACUUCCUUCUUUACACAAUUCUUACCCAUUGUAAAUACAAAUUACAAAUGUCAAAAAUGUACAUACAGUCAUUCAGAUUCAAUUCGUAUUCAGAUGGUACAAAUCAAUAUCAUCAGCAGACAUCACAAUCAAUAUCCAUUUAUAUACUCACAAUUCAGUUCCAGUGAUCACAUGUUAAAUUUGUAUUUUUUGUGUGUUUAAUUCGGUUAAUUCUUGAAUUAAUUUCUGCUGAAUCAGUGAUUUUAUGUUUUAAUCUUGUCAAGGAUGUAAUUGAGAUACUAUGAGUUAAAAACGAGUAAAAAAAAGAUAAUUUGCAGCAUAGUCAAUAAAGUGGGGCCGAAUAAAAAACGUGGAGAUAACCAAUGACUCAUCAGAUUUCUUUUGACUUUGUAAAAGCCAAAAUAAGAAAAAAAUCUUAUUUUAUUUUGAUUUUAUUUUUUUAUUUAAUUUUAAUUAUAUAUUUGGUGGUUAAGCCAAAUUUAGUAAGUGAUAUGUAUAUAAAUAAGGCUUUAAGGUAGCUUGGAUGAGAGACUUGAAUUUUCUUGAGCAAUUAAAUUAAAUCAUUAUUUUCUUCCAAUUUAGGCGUCAGUAGCAUAUUGCUACACCACUUCCAUUUCCUAUUUUCUUUGCAAAUUAGUUUAAUUGUUUUCCAAAUCCCUUCCAUUUUCAACUUUCACCAUUUUUCACUCAAAUCCAUUCCUUAACCAACCAAAGCAUGAUUAAAUUCAUGCUUCACUAAAUACCAACUUAGCUUUAGGUUGGUAUUCUUUCCGGUCAAGAAUCGUGAGAUACGUAUCUAUACUAAAAAUCCUUCCAAUCGACAUUUACAUUUCUCCUAAGUAUCAGGAUUGACAACUCAUCCCUUAAAGUUAACUCGAUUUCAAGUCAAAAAGCGCGUUGGGUUGGAGUUGUGUUUACGAACAAUUGGGGAAACGAGUCAGCCGUGCUGUAUUCGAAUCUUCGAGAACAAAUCAAUGAAGAAGUGAUCGAGUUUAAAUGAAUCACACAGUUGAGGCCGUUAAUCCGAGUUGGGUUCUUUAGAGUGCAAGGCUGCCAGAAUCUUCAAUGGGAACACGUGUAUCUCGGUUAGAUAAUCGGUAAGGGUUGGUUUGUAGGUCGUACCUGGACUAGCUGCGAGAGGAAGAAUUAGUGGUUAGGACGUUCUUAACUGCUAUAACCAACUUAUUGUUUAGAGGAGAAAAUUAAUUUUUGAAUAUCGAUUCUAAAUUCGGAAUCCACCGAGUCUAAAGUUAAGACUUAUUAUCUCUGUUUACAAAAUUCGAAUUUAAUUUUUAAUUUAGUUUAUUUUCCAAUUUAUUUAAUUAUUUAUUUAUGUUGUUUCAAUUAUUUAAUUUUUAAACAUUUCAAAACUCCCCUAAUUUAUUUUUUUAUUUUUUAGUAGGUUGGUUUGGAGUCAUGGGCACAACCAUUGCCAUGAUUAUCAACACGACACGACCGAAAUUCUGAUCACAAGUUAAACAUGAAAGUUGAUUAUAAUACUAAUACUUGUGGACUUGACCUUACUUACCACUCUUUACUAUUAUUUAAAGUUAUUUUUGUAUGAAUUAUCUUUUGUGGCUUCGACGCCUACCAAAUUUUGGCACCGUUGUCGAUGAUUGGAGAUAUUUUUUUCUAAUUUUUGUUUGUUUACCUUAUAACCAAAUCAGAACUGGGAACUCUAGAGUUUGAACCAGAAAUUGAGACAACUGCGAAGAGAAGUCAUUCGGCGCAGUAAAUGACAAAAUCCCGGAUUUGAAACCAUAUCUUACAUUGAGGAAAUUUUCUCAUUUGACGAACUAGACGAGAUGGUCGAACAAACUAUACAUCAACUUGCAGCGGCACCGAAUGAACAACAACCCUUAUGUAUAACCUAUCCGAUGGGAGGUACGUAGUUCGAGUUGAAGUCGGGUUUGAUUCAUUUACUACCCACCUUUCAUGGAUUACAGAAUGAAAAUCUACAUACCCAUUUUAAAGAAUUCCAUAUGGUGUGCACAAAUAUGAAACCUCAAGGAGUAACUGAAGACCAAAUCAAACUUCGUGCUUUUCCUUUCUCAUUAGCCAACUCUACUAGAGAGUGGCUAUUUUAUUUAACUCCAAGAUCUGUCAACACAUGGUCUGACAUGUCUCGUUUGUUUCUUGACAAGUUCUUCCCUAUAGCUCGAGCGACUGAACUAAGGAGAGACAUCAUAGGAAUUCAUCAGAAGGACACUUAAUCGCUCUACAAUUACUAGGAGCGAUCCAAAAAAUUAUGUGCAAGUUGCCCAUAACAUGGACUAGCUGAACAGUCACUCUUGCAUUAUUUCUAUGAAGGGUUGCUAUCGAUGGAAAUGAAAAUGACAUAUGCUGCAAGUGGAGGGGCAUUUGUUAAUAUGACGCCUCAGAGAGCUAGAUAGUUUAUUUUGACCAUGGCUGCUAACUCUCAACAAUUCCAAUUGGCUACAAAACCUACGAGAUUGGUUCAUGGGUUAAGUUCUCUAUCUCUAGGAGAUAAAAUUGAUAAGCUGACUAACAUUGUUCAAAAAUUGCUUACGGAUAAAAUAGGCCCAGUGCAGUUGUGCGAAAUUUGCACUAAACCAGACCACCCAAUAGACUCAUGUCCAAUUUUACAUGAGGAUUUGAUAGAACAAGCAAAUCUCACUGGGAACUUUCCAAGACCGCCCUAAAGGUGAUAUGACCCCUACUCGAACUCAUAUAAUAUGGGGUGGAAAGAUCACCCAAAUCUAAGUUAUAGGUCAAAUCCUUAGUUCAAUCAACCAACAAAGGCCACCUUCGAAUCAACAAUUAGUGCCCCUAAAGUCAUCUUUGGAAGCCAUAGUGGAAAGGCUAGUCAAUAGUACUAAGACGUUUCAGCAAAAAACUGACAUACAUUUGCAAGAGUUAGAAAGGCAAGUGAGAAAGCUUGCACUCACAGUUAGCCGUUUGGAGUCCCAAGGUAAGCUGCUAUCCCAAAAUGAGUUUAAUUCUCGACACAAUGUAAGUGUUAUGAUGUUGAGGAGUGGGAAGGUUUUGGAACCCAUACCUGGCAUGAGUUGGGCCUACGACUCUAGUCAAGAUUAAAAGAAACUUGACACAAAGGCUUUAGUGGAGUUAAUACCACAAAAAUCAUUUGCAACACCACCUCCAUUUCCUAGAAGACUUGUCUAAUACAAGAAGGAGUGAGAAGAGAAGAAGAUCCUCGACACCUUUCGAAAGGAAUCAACAUACCUUUUCUUGAAGCAAUUAAGCAGAUUCCACGAUGUGCAAGAAUCUUAAAAACAUUAUGCACGAGUAAGAGGAAGCUCCUGGGCAAUGAAAAGGUGAGUGUCAGAGAAAAUGUCUCCGCCGUUCUACAAAGAAAAAUACCACCCAAAUGUAAGGUCUAAGGUAUGUUUUCCAUAUCUUGCAAAAUAGGCAGUGUCGGUAUUAAAAAAGCUAUGUGUGACUUAGGCGCAUCAAUUAAUGUUAUGCAUUUAUCAAUUUAUAAACUACUUAAUGCAGGUCCUUUGAAGGAAAUAUAUGUAAUUAUUCAGCUUGCAGAUAUAUCUGUAGUGCAUCUAGAAGGAGUGUUGUAGGACGUUUUUGUUAAGGUAAACGAACUGAUAUUUCUUGCAGACUUCUACAUUAUUAACAUGGAGGAUGACAACUCGGCUAAUUCGUCUGACAUACUUCUUGGGAGACCAUUCUUGAGUAUUGCGAGAACGAAAAUUGAUGUUUAGAGUGGAACACUCACCAUAGAAUUUGAAAGUGACGUGGUUAGGUUUAAUGUUUAAGAGGAUAUAGGACAUCCCAGUGAUAAGUUACAAACUGUGCCUCGUAAGAAUGUAGAUUUCGAUGUUAAGCAAGAGGAAUUAUCAAUGAUCAAAAAACUAAUACACGAAGCUGUCAUGAAAGCCUCGAAAUUAGAGCUCCAACCAUUUUCAGAAUAUACAAGGAUUCUAACAGAGAAAAAUGCAAACUUGAACGGAGAAGCUCAAAGACGCCUCAAUCCACUAAUGAUAGGGGAAUUUGGGAAAGGCUUCAAGGACAGUAGGCAAAGGUCGAAACCUUUCUACAAGAACAUCCAAGUGCACAAAAUAGAAAAAUUAAUUUUUAAUGAGCCAAAUGGAUAACAUUUAAGGUCGUCGAGCUAACGACGUUAAACAAAAGCACUUUUUGAAAGGCAACCUAAUUUUUUUUUUUUGAAUUUUAGUUUAAUUUAGAUUGAAAAUAAAAUGAAUAAUAACCAGAUUAUUAUUUAACCAGGUUAAUGUGUUUUUUCAGGGACGUAAUGAAGGUUGUCGAUUUUUCAAAAAUUGGAUAUUGAUGGUGGAGUGGGCACACCGUGCUAAGUGCUGACAUUUAUUUCCCUACAAACGAAACCCAACAUCCCUAACCCAAAUAAAAACCUCAACGCCGACAACAUCGUUAGAAACACGUGGGGAGUAUUCUUAACCUUUCUCUUUGCUUGUUAUUUGAGUUAUUGUAUUUUAUUGCAUACAAAACAUGCUUGAGGACAAGCAUAAAUUAAGUGGAGGUUGAAAUGGUAAGUAUGCAUGAUUAAUCAAUUUUUGCUAUAUGUUUCUCUUUCGCAUAUAUUCAAUUUAAUGCUAGAUUUAUUCGAUAGUUUAUUUUACAUUAAGCUUAUAAUCUCAUUACUUAGUAAAUUUGGACAAUUGGGUAAUUUUUGAAUUAAAGUGUUCAAGUAUCUAGAUUAAUCGACAUAUGUGUUUUAAAGUUGAUAUAUGUAACUAGAUUUUUCAUAUAAAUUGAUUGUUUGGAAAAAAAUUAUUUGCUCGUACAUAAAUAAAUAAAUAAAUAACAUGAAAAAUAAAUAAAUGAAUAAAUCCUUAAGUUAUGAGUGAAAGUUUCGAAAAAGUGGCUAAAUUUAGUAAACGGUAUGAGGUGCUUGGGUUAUCAUCUCAUCUCGCGUAAAAAGGUUCGAGUGACAAAUCGAAAACUUACAAACAUUCAGCUAACUGAGCUUUCAAAAAAAAAAAAGACUGUUUGAACUGAGUAACUGAGAUAAGAUGCUUGGGUUGUCAUCCUAGUUCACGUAAAAAGACUUGACCCCUUUUAAAAAAAAUUACUACAUGGUUAAUUAAUAAUUCCUUGCAAAUUUUGGUUCAAACUCAAUUUAGUGAAAUGAUUUAGUUUACAUGUUUCAGUUUUAUGACAAUUGUUGAUCAAACUAGGUAUUCCGAGCUCUUUUUUUUGCCUAUAUUGUUUACAUUAAUUAUGGAUGCGAAAAAGAAGCUCGAUUUUUAAUAAUUUAUUGAAUAAUUUCUAGUGUUUGAAAGUACAAUAUGCUUGAGGGCAAGCAUGAGCCAUGUAGGAGGAUUUGAUAACAGGUAAAUUUGCAUUAUUUUUGUGUUUAAUUCGGUUAAUUCUUGAAUUGAUCCCUACUACCACUCUUUACUAUUAUUUAGGGUUAUUUUUGUAGGAAUUAUUUUUAGUGGUUUCAACGCCAAUCAUUCAGAUUAUCAGAUAGCAACUCAUACGGUCUAACACAGGUCAUCAGUGCACUACGGAAGGUCGACAUUUUCGUUAGACAAUGCUUAGAGAUAAAUUUUAGAUCUGACCUACAUGCCAGUAUGACCACACACGGCUUGAGACACGCUCGUGUUGUCGACCCAUGUGGUUUUAAAUCGUGAACAGUGAGUCAUAUGGCCUAAACACAUACCCGCGUGGUCUCUAAAAGUAAUGGUGAGUCACACGGCCUGGACACACGCUCGUGUCCCUAACUCGUUUGAUCUUUACAUUGUACUUAGUGAGUUAUACGACCCAGACACAUACCCUUAUCCUUGGCCUGUGUGAACACUGCACUAACCUGACCACACAUGGCCUAGACACACAUCCGUUUCCCUUGCUCGUGUGGCUCGUAUUUGGUAGAUAGUGAGUUACACGGCCUACCACACUGCCUGGCACACGACCAUAUGGCUCACAUGGCCAUGUGGCAUCGACAACCAUGUUUCUUGGCAUCUAAGAUUCAUAAAAACUUGGAUUUUUGGUACCCACUUGAAGUAGUUUUGAUGUAAGAGCAACGUAGAAGACUCUCGAAGAAUAACACGACCAUUUUAAGCAAUUUAAUUAACAACAAUACCCAAUUAUGCGCAGAAAACUAUGUCGAAAGUUUUGAAGCAAAACCUUCAACAAUUCUAGACUUACCGACAAAAUCAAUAGCAAUUACUCGAGUUAUUGUGCUGAGGAUCCUUGCUUUUAAUAUCCUCGCCUAAAAAGAAACCAAACAGUCGCUUAAAAGAAAGUUUAAAAAAUCGAGUUGGAAACAACUCCAACAGAAACAAACGAACUAUCGUCUAAUGGAAGUUCUACAAGUAACGCAGUUCACACAAUCGAUAUAAUUGGUAGUAAGGGCACGCACACUUACCCGACAACAUAGCAGACAAAACGUGCGAACCAAGCAACAAUUGGAUGAAGAAAGAAGGAAAAAGAAUAAAAAGAAAUAAACAAAAGAAAAAAAUAAGAAAAGAAAAAAAUAGAGAUAGAAGGAAGAGAGAACGUUUAACUAAUUAACCACCGAUCAAAAUUCUGACAUUAAGCAAAAACAUUACUUAAUUCAUAUGUCAAGACUCGAAUAUAGGACCAGAGAGUAGACAGAUGCUUAACCAGUGAACCAGCAGGCUCAUUCUUAACAUAGAUUUACACAUAAUUAAAUUUAAGUCAACAGCCCAAGAGUAGAUAUGGAUUAAAAUUGAAUUAGCAAUACUUCUAAAGACGUGACUCAAACUUCCGACCUCAACCACAUAAACAGAGCACAUCACCACAAAUACAGAGACUUAAUUACUACGAAAUCCCAGGAAUAAACAUUUAAAUUUUUGGGGCGUUACAAAGUGGUCAUCAAUUUUUUUCAAAUUUGCACACGUUUUUGUAAAAAGUAACAAUUAUAAUUCUAAUUAGAGUGAUUUUUGUGGGGCAAUUUACUAAAAAAGCCCUUUUAUAUCAUUAUUUACCGAAAUGGGUUGAUUUUUUGAUUAUUUACCGGAAAGGGCCGUUUCCCCAGAAAGUGCGUCCACGUCAGCGCGAAGUUAGGGGACGUGUCUGCAAAACGCGUCCCUCGGGGAGCAUUUUUUCCUGUUUUUUAAGGUUAGGGGUUUUUUAAUUGGUGUAGGGUUAGGGUUUAGUUUAGGGUUUUUAAGGCUUAGGGUUUUAGUAUUUUUUAAGGAAAAAAUUAAUUAAAUUAGGGUUGAGGGUUAAUUAAUAUUAUUAACUAUUAAAUUAAAAAAAGAAUUUAAAUUAGGAUUUAGAGUUUUUAGGGUUUAUUAAUUAAAUUAACUAUUAAUUAUGGAAAAAAGCUCCCAUGUGGAUACUCUUUUGCUACGUAGUAUUUGAAAAAAUAAUUUUGAGAAGAUGUUUCUGAAAAAAUAGUGUCAAAAACGCUUCAAGAAGGAUGCACUGCUAGCAAAAUUACGGAAAAAAGCUCACAUGUGGACGCUCUUUUACUACAGUAGUAUCUGAAAAAUAAUUUUGAGAAGAUGUUUCUAAACAAAUAGUGUCAAAACGCUUCAAGCAGGAUGCACUGUCAGUAAAAUUACGGAAAAAAGCUCCCACGUGGACGUUAUUUUGCUACAGUAGUAUCUGAAAAAGCCUUAGGCUAUAAAUGAGCCAAAUUUCAUUUUCAGGUUGCAAAAGUUACAACAAGAGAAAUUGAGGCUAAAGUAAAAUAGAAAUUGAAGAUGAGUAAAUGUAUUAGUGCUAUUAUUUACUAUGAUGGCGAGGUCCGUGACACCGAGAACGGUGUUGUUUUUUUAUCGGAGAACACAGUUCGACUAGUUUUUAACCAGAACAUAGAUUUGACAGAACUUCGUAAAAGAAUUAGGCGUAAAAUCUUUGGAACGACGCCAAUGAAAGUUUUGUCUAUUAAGUAUUGAUUUUGUACUUCGGUUGAUCUCGUAAGAUAUGACUCAUUUGAUAUCAAAGGUCCUUGUAGCUUGGAGGUAAUGGUGUAGACUCAUUUUGCCAGUGGAUCACCUAUAUUGAGUUAUAUGUACAAUUUUCAUCGCCAAAUGAUGCAUUUGCGACUUCAACAUCUAAUGCUGUUCGAGAGGAAUACACCACCCCUACCCGACACUCAGUUAGUGGGUGGCAAAACACGAAAGCUCUCGUGUUUGGUAGCAGUAUGGAAUAUACAACCCUUGCACAACACUCCGUUAGUGGAUGGGACAUGCAACUCGGUAGGUCGAUGUUUGAUACUGAAAAUACGUACUGAGGAAUGACAUCAACUUCUAGUGGUUGGCAAUCCACAUCUGAUUGGAGAUGUUAUGAAAUAUCCAGAAGAAGGGAUGAUGUACUCCUUACAACAUCCACCGGUGAGGGGACCUCAUUCAUUGCAGAUAAUGGUGGGUCAGAUGAUGAGUCCGAUGUGGAUCCACUUCGAGAGCUCGGUCCCGAUGGUGCAGAAGUUGGAUUAUUUUCUAAACCAGAGCAUGUUCCAACCAUACCUGAAGAUGUUGAAGAGGGUUCAAAUGAAGAAGAAGAAGAAGAUCCACGAUUCAGGGCAUACUCGCCUCUAGCCCACAUGCAUAAUGUCGAUCUAUCUCAAGAUGAUGCAUUAGUGUUUCCAGAUCUACCACAUAGAAGGCGUGACUGUACAAGUUCGUCAUUGGAUUCGGGUGAAAUGGAAGUUGGUAGGGAAUUUUCCAAUAAGGAUAGUUUUCUUGGUGCAUUGAAACAACAUAACAUCAUGAACGGGGUUAACUACAACGUGGUUAAAUCUAAAUCCGAUAAGUUUGAGGCCAAGUGUGCAGUGCAAGAUGGUACAUGUUCAUGGAAAAUCAUGGCCUCAUUGAGGAAAAUGACAGGCUUGUGGGGGAUAAAAAAGUACAAAGGUCCAUAUAUAUGUGUUGGCGGUAAAGUAUCACUAGGUAUUUAAGGUUUUUGAAUAAUACUAUUAUUACGUAAUGUUGCAUUAUUUAACAUACUUUGUUGACAAGUGUUUCACAAGAUCAUCCCAAGAUGGAUUUAGAUAUGUUAGCUAGCUUAAUACUACUGAUGGUGAAGGCGGAUCCGAAGACUUCAAUGCCAGUCUUAAUUGCCAAUAUUCGUAGCCACUUGAAGUACACGCUCUCUUACCGCAAGGUUUGGAUAGCUAAGUAGAAGGUGUUGGAAAAGAUAUAUGAUAGCUAAGUAGAAGGUGUUGGAAAAGAUAUAUGGUAUAUGGGAAGCUUCAUAUAAUGAAGUGUGCCAGUGGUGUCAAGUGCUAGAGAGAUAUGUCCCAGGUUGCAUAACAGACCUUGAAACGGCACUUGUGUACUACAACGACCAAUUUCUCUGUGGAUGCCAAGUGUUCAAUUGUCUGUUCUGGAGUUUAAGCAAUGUCGGGACGCAUUUAUAUACUGCAAGCCAUUAGUACAAAUUGACGAUACCUUUAUGCAUGGUAGAUAUACCCAUUGGCUAUUGCUAGCUGUGGCACAGGAUGACAGGGGAAGAAUAAUUCCAAUUGCGUUUGCAACAACACCGAGGGAGUCAGCUGAUGACUGGGAUUUCUUUCUUUCUAGGUUAAGGAGGCAUGUCUGCCCCCAACCUGAUAUAUGCGUUAUAUCGGAUCGGGGCACUGGAAUACUAACCGCAAUUGAGCGACAAGAAAGCCAAUGGCAUCGCACACACCAUCGGUAUUGCCUAAGGCACGUUGCGUCCAACUACUACGGGUAAUUUUGAUCUACAAGUGAAAAACGACAAGUGACCAACAUGGGUAUUUAAUCUCUAUUAAUAUAAUUUCGUUUGUAAUAUUGAAUUUAUUCUAAAUAGAAGAGUGGUAUGUAAUUUUCGCUAUGAACUUAUAUUGGCAGGGUAUGAGAUAAGUAAGGACCGUUUUCAUGAGAUGUUGGCAGUUUUACGUUCAGUUAACGAAGAAGGUGCAGACUACCUUUGUAACAUACCUUUCCAACAGUGGACACAAGCAUACGAUGGUGGCCUACGAUAUGGUCAUAUGACCUCAAACCUGGCUGAAUGCAUAAAUUCUAUUCUAAAAGGAACGUGUCAUUUGCCAAUAACAGCCGUUGUGCAAGAGACAUAUUUUCGUUUAGCAGCAAUAUUUCCAAAGUGAGCAGCGAGUUAUAAAGGCCAAAUGCAAUGAGGUCAUGUAUGGUGCGCGAAGGUAUUGCAAGAGAUUAACAAGGCGAAGGCACGAGCCAACACCAUGCACAUAGUGUGUCACGAUCGCGACAACCUAUGGUUUUGUUUGACGGAGUUUAACAAACCGAACCAAGGUAUUAUUAGCAGGCAAUAUCAUGUACACUUGAGAAAUAGGACAUUCGACUGUAGGGUGUUUGCGCACUACGUUAUCCACGCGCUCAUAUAAUUGCAGCUUGUCAGAAUCUCCGUCAGGAUCCUAUAACGUAUGUCGAUCAAGUGUACAAAAUAGAAUACAUGUACAACAUGUGGAGACACGAUUCCCACCGAUCCCAGAUUAAUGUAAGUGGCCGUCUGUAUCGCUUGCUCCGUUUAAGCUGUUACCGGAUAGAGAAUUGCGUCGCAAACCAAAGGUUCGACCUUACUCGACUAGAAUACGUAACAAUAUGGAUAUCUGAGAAACAACGAACCAAUAGAGGUUGUGCGGAUGGUGUAGGAACCCAGGCCAUAUAACUCGAUCAUGUCCAAAUCGGAAUAGCUAAUAGUUGUUGUAAUAAAAUUAUGUUGCAUUAUUUAUAUUUUAUUAAAAAUAUAAAAAAUAUUAAAAAAAUUGUCAUAUUCAAAAUAACAUUUAUUUUAAUAAAAAUUAUUGGUUAAUUUAAAAGUACAUUUAUUGUAUUAAAAUUAAAAAAAGUAAAGUACAAUUAAAAUAUUAAAAAUAACUUUUAUUUUAUUAAUUAAAACUAUAUAAAAAAUAAAUAUAAAAAUAAUAAAAAUAUUGGAUAAUUUAAAAGAAUAUUUAUUUUAAUAAAAUUAAAAAAGUAAAGUACAAUUAAAAUAUUAAAAACAACUUUUAUUUUAUUAAUUGAAACUAUAUAAAAAAUUAAAUAUAAAAAUAAUAAAAAAUAUUGGCUAAUUUAAAAGAACAUUUAUUUUAAUAAAAUUAAAAAAAGUAAUGUACAAUUAAAAUAUUAAAAACAACUUUUAUUUUAUUAUAUGAAACUAUAUAAAAAAAGUUUCUACAAAUAUAUUAAAAAAAUCAAUGUUGGUGCCAGUCGAAAUCAAUGCCACAUGGGGUUCGUCGAUGGUUACGCGCUAGAUUCCUUCUUGGUUUAGCUUCCGAUGGGGGUUGUGGUUGCUUCGGUGGGGACUGUGGUUCCUCUGACAGGGGAUCUGGUUGUGAGUGUUGGGAGGAUGACCCACCUUGAUAGAAUAAUAAAUGCGGAGGUGUUUGCAUCACCCAUGGUGGAGGUGUUUGAAUCCCAUAAGGCGAUGGGGAAUGGUAAAAAGAAGAGCUCCUUGACGGCGCCUCGUGCGAUCCCUCAUGCGACGGCGGCCUAUUGAUUUGUGGUUGAAUCGGAGUAAUUGGGAACGGAGAUGAACCGGGCCAUGCAUUCCAACCUGCCAUAGGACUGGGAAAAGGAAACAUAAAAGGGUUAGGAUACAUAUAAGGGCUAGGAUACGCACCUGGCAUAAUCUGAAAAGGCUGUGAUAUGGGUGUCGUCGGUUGAAGUGUUGGGCCAGGUGGCUAUGUGGGCACUGUUGAUGGGCCCGAUGAUUGUAUGGGCAUUGCUGAUGGGCCCGCGUCGUCAUCCCUUCUUCUUGGAUUUAAAGGGCCCCGUCGUUCUCUUUGCACACGAAUUUGCCGUCGCCUCUCCUCUUUCGACAAUAAAUAUGGCUUGCCAUGGAUUCUAAACCAUGGCAUGUAUUCCGGCAUGCAUGCUAACUCAGGAACGAUGAUCGGUUCCCGAGUAGGUAUAUAAUCAUACUGAUUUUCCCACAUUUCGAUAUAUUCUGACCAGUGUCUCGGCCAAUCCGUAUUCAAUAGCCAUAAGUCAACUUUGUACUCAUAAUCGAACACCUCAGGUGCCACGGGAAUUGGUUGUCGAAAUCCAAAUUACUGCAACACUCUAUUUGACUAAUGCAUCUCCACGAUAGCAUAGUUGACCAAUGGGACCUUCACAUGCCAAAUGUUCGGAUUUUGAAAAAAUUCAUUCAGAAUUACUACCCGAAUUGCCGGAUCCUCGUAUGGCGUCCAUUGAAACUAUAUGAACAUGAUAAAAAUAUUAGUUAUAUAUGUAAUACUAAAUACUAAAUACUAAAUACUAAAUACGAAACGACUAUUUUAUUAUGUAUAUAUAUUUUAUUUAAUACUUACUUGUGCUUCCGACCGUUGGUCUAAUAGAAGCCGUAUAUCUUCACGAGAUGUGGGUAUUCCAACAUAACUUGCCGAAUGGUUCCACCUAAUUAAAUAUUUUUUAGCAUACAAUCAUAUUUUAAAUCUACGUAAUAAUUGUAAAAUCUAAUAUAAAAUUUACCUCGUUAUUAGUGGGAAUGUAUAUGGGUGGUUCACUCGAGGACGUAAAAAUAGAAAGCAAAACAGUGCCCAUGAUUGCAAUAGUGAUAGGCAUCCUCCGAUUUUGGCUUUAUUCGGUCGCGUCGACCGACACAUCUCCCAGUACAAUGUUGCUAACACGGCAGACCCCCAACUUAAUUCACCUGCUGCUCUAAAGUCAACGAGUUUCAGCAGCCAUCUCAGAUGUACGCGGUUUCGUGACAAGUCCGGCAUCAGAUAACCUCCAAUCAUUUCAAGAAUGUAUGCCUGAGCAUGUCGUAUUCUUUCUAAUUCAAUCGAAUCAUUAUCCGACUCCGAAAAUAUGUCUCGUAACCAGCCCAUCUCGAUCAACCUCUAUUAAUAUUAUCCGGAAUAGCACCCAAAAGCUCGUAGCAUACGGCUCUCCAAUCAGCAGAUUGAGUGGAGCCGGUGACUGCGUACCCAUCGACUGACAAUCCCAAUUGCAAUUGCACGUCUUCCAGAGUGAUAGUACACUCUCUGCAUGGAAGAUGGAAAGUGUGCGUCUCGGGUCUCCACCUCUCUAUCAACGCACUGAUUAGUUUCGGAUCCAACUUCCACCCCCGGCCUAUCAUGGUCACGUGUCAAAAACCCGCUUCUCUACGACCAACGGUGAUAGAGGACCAAACAUAUUACGGAUAUAGCAUUGCAACACCUGAUCUACAGGCUGUUAUAAAAAAAUUAUAAAAUAAAUAUUAAUUAAAAUUGCAUAAAUUAAAAAAAUUAAAUACUAUUCAAAAAUUAAUUAAACUUAUCACUUACCAUUGUCAUUUGAUCAACGGAGAUAUGUUUCGUAUCGAGACAAAUUAAUUCUUUGGCCAUUGCUAACACGAUCGAAUAUUUUUGUAAUUUAAAAAAUAAAACUAAUUCAAAAAAAUUUAAAUAGAGCUUUUUUGCAAAAACUAAAGAGAGCUUUGAAAAAAGUUGAGAGAAAUUUGAGAGAAUUUGGAGAGAAUUGUGAGAGAAUUGUGAGAGGACUAUUGUGUGAAAAAAUGAAAGGGGGAGGGGCCUUUUAUAGUUUUUUUUUUACCGUUAGAGUUCAAACGGUCAAGUGACCGUUGGGGGCGGGACAAAAUGCUCCCUCAGGGACGCGUUUUGCUGACACGUCCCCUGACUUCGCACUGAUGUGGACACACUUUCGGGGGAAAUGGCCAUUUUCAGUAAAUAAUCAAAAAAUCGACUCAUUUCGGUAAAUAAUAAUAUAAAAUGGCUAUUUUUAGUAAAUUGCCUGAUUUUUGUGACACCUUAUAAAUUUGUAUUUACAUGUGAAUACUUUUUUUACAAGUCAUAUGGUUAAAACUCUUAUCAGGCACCUGUUUGGCACGAGUCCAAAUCGUGUUACCCCCAUCCCCACCCCAAUAUUGUAUAGAAAACAAGUAAAUUCAUAUUAAAUGUCAAACAUUUAUCUUAUGUGAUAAAUUUUAAAAUAUUAAAAUACUAUAAAAAAAUGUAUUACCUUGCAAGUUGUGGUACAACUCAAGUUCACCGUAUAAUAGAAUGGUCAGCGCAAUCAAAUCCUUCACCUUCACUUUAAAAUAUCAUAAUUUAAAAAAUUAUGAUAAAUUCAUAUUAAAUUUUAUAAAAUAUCAAAUAUUCAUCAUAUGUAAUAAAUUUUGAAAAAAUAAAAUAUCAUAAUUAUAAAAAAUCAUACAUUGCAAAUGGUGACACAACUCAAUUUCACCACAUAGUGGAAUGAUGAGAGAGACCAAAUCCUUCACCCUCACUAUAAAAUACCAUAAUAAUUAAAAAAUCAAGGUAAAUUCAUAUUAAAUGUCAAACAUUCAUUAAAUAUAAUAAAUUUUUAAAAAAUUAAAUACCAUGAUUAAAUAAAUUCAUACAUUGCAAAUGGUGGUCCAACUCAAUUUCACCACAUAGUGUAAUCAUGAGCGAGAUCAAAUCCUUUACUUACUUUGAGAGCUACCUUGACUCGAUUUUGUGGUAUUUAUCCAAAAAUAUAGCCAUGAAAACGAAUAUUUUGUCCUUAAUCUUGAUACAACUGAGGUGGAGAUUACAUUUGAGGUUAAGGAUAUAUAUAUGUAGUGGAAGAAGGUGAUACAUUUGAGGUGGAUAAGGCAUACUAUAACCGGGAAAUGGCGAAUAGUAACUAUGUGAUUGUAAUCGGAGGUUGAAAAAAUUGGAGGUAGCUCUAAUGGAUAAUAACCUUGAGUACUAACAGACGAAUCACUAUACCCAAAGUUACUCACCAUCAUCACUUUAACUUAGCGUUGUACUUGAACUAGAAUGAAACUUGUCUUGCUUUUGAGAUUGAACUUUUCAUUCAAUGUUCAUUUCAUCAUCAAAAUCCAUAAGAAAUAAACCAACAUUUUCACCAUCUAAUAGAGGAUUUUCUUUCUCUUGCAACUAGAUAGUAAAUCAUCAUCUUCAAAGAUACGAUCAAUUCUAAUAGAAUUAAAACUAUCAUUUAUCCCAUCAAUACUUGUUCUUAUAUGAUGUAUCAUCUUCAGUCUCUUAUUGUAGUAGGUAAAUACUAAUUUCUCAAGUCUUUGAAACAUUAACCUAUUUCUUGCCUUAGUGUGGAUGUAGCUAAAAUGUGCUCCAAAUUUCGUUUGUAGUUUGAUGCAUAGGUUGUUUGAUUAAGCCCUUUAACUACUAAUCUUUGUAAUUCAAGAACACAUGUGCCAUAUAUUAUCUACCAUUCAACUACAUAAUAUUAUGCAUGGACAAGACAUAAGAUUUUUCCAAGUCUAAUCAAGUAUGAUCACUGCCUAAUUACUUGUCCAUUAAUCUAAUCCCCACUUGACUAAAGGCAUACCCUAGUCCCUACUAGGCAUGUCAAGAUUUGACCAAGGUAGACACAUACCAAGGCUUAUAAGAAGGGUGAUGGCUAAGGGAGCUUAUAAACACCUUGAUACAUGCACGGAUAGGAUGAAAUUUAUUAAAUUCUAUUCAUUGAAGGUGGCAAUUUUCAAAUUCGAAAAAUCUGAUAACUUGCAAUGAGUUUUUGGAUAGGAUCCAAACAUUUUUUUAGUUGAGAUGUCACAUAUCAAUCGAAGAUCUGUCUCUUAUCUUCGCAAUGCACUUUGAAUCACUCGAUUUCAAGUUUGGAAGCUCAAGUUAUGAUUAUUUUAUUGAAGACUACGCGAGCAGAAUUUUUGGAUGGGAUUAUUAUAGGAAAUUAUGAGAGAGUUUUGGGCUUUAAUUCAAGUUUAAAUCAUAUUGGAUUCGAUUUUUAGGCUUUAUUUUUAUUAUAUAUAUAUAAUCUCAAUAUUGUAUUUAUUAAAUUUUAUUAUUUUAUUAUUUAUUUAUUCUAUAUUUUGGAUAUAUUUUUUUAUUAAUGAUACAGGAUUGGGUGAAAAUUAUUAAAUUUCAUUUAUCGAAUUUGUCAAUUUUCAAGUUCUAAAAAUUAAUUGACUUGCAAUGAAUUUUUAGAUGUAAUUUAGUUAUUUUUAGGUUGAGAUGUCUUCGUAUCGAUGGAAGAUCUGACUCUUAAUUAUGAGCUUUUUAGUGAAGAUAAAUAUGAAUUUUGAGGUUUAAUUAGAAUUUAAAUAAUAUUAAGUUAAAUUUUUAGAUUUAAUUUUUAUUAUGUAUUUAAAUUUAUUAUUUAUUUAUUCAACAAUGGAGGUUGAAUCAUAUUUUAUAGAAGUUCAUCUCACCCAAAAUGACGGGGGUUGAAAUCCUGAGUGAACCGACUUAAUGGAGGCAAAUAACUCAAGCUUGCAAUGAAAAAGAAAUAACUAGUCUUUGAUGGAAAGCAAGAAGAAUCGUAAUUAGCGAUGAAAUAUUCACAUAAAAUCCUCUUCUACUUCCUGGAAAGACUUGUUCGUCGCUGCAAUUUGUUUGUUUGAUGUCAUCUUUUCAGGGACCAUCAGAUUGUCGUAGCUUCUUAUUUCUGCUUCUCUUUCCUUUUCAAGCCUUUGCAUCUCCUCUCGGCGUUUUUUUUCCUUCAGCUGUUGCUUUCUCUGGGUUUUUUCCGCUGCAUAAACUGCUUCUUUCUUAGCUUUCAAAUCAGGUUUCCUUUCCACUUUAGUCUUGUUCAACCUGUUAACUAUCUCAUGUAUCCGCUUCUCCUCUCUCACAGUCCGAACCAUCUUGGAAUUGUGAAAGCCAACUUGGCCAACAUCCAUCGAAGGAGUUUUCUUCAAAUUGGACAAUGGAGUGUAAACAACAUCAAUACUAUUCACCUUCUUGCCUUGGAUGGAAUUAGCUUUAACAAGCUGAGCACAUGUUCAAAGGCUGGUGUUGGUUACUGGUUGGUUUAUAAAUCCAACUAAAAGUUGUUGCUUAGUUAAUUAGUUAGGGACUAAAAUGUUGAUAUAUAAAUAAAUUGCGGGUGUAAUUUAAAAAUAUUUUUUUUAUCUCUUAACGAAAGCAUCUUUCAAAUUACUUUUGUUUUCCUCUUUUUCAUGCCUUAAUUAUUGUCGCUAUUACUCUGCUCUAUUUCUUUGUGAUUAUCACCGGCGUACCACCGACCAACGAUGGUCACUGACGUUUUCCAGCAGCACAAUCUUCGACAACACCUUCGCUUAUAUCAUCAAUGGUUUCACCCUUUUUAAGUCUUAAAUAAACAUGGGCAGAAUACAUCUUAUCCACAUGGAACAAGAUCUUCCAUGAAGCCAUAUUUGAUGAGCUCCUAUUUCUCGUACUUGUCAAGACCCAUGAAAAUGGUUUAAUCGCCAGCUUGUGGCCUGGCUUUGAAGUAAAAUACCAUUUUUCCCUCGCUUUCGUGAGAGACAAAAUUAAAGGAAAUAAUUUCUUAAUUUCUUAAAGAAGAUCGAGAAGAAUUAAAAAUUUUAUUAAAGAAAAAUAUUUGUAUUUAAUGAACUUUUAUAUAAUCUAUCUAAUUACAUCCUAAAUAAAACAUUUAACUAUAAUGAAACUCUAAUAGUUUUAAGUAAAUUUGAUAAAUAUAAAAUUUCCUAAUAAUUUAAAAUAAUUCAAAAUAUAUUUUUAAAAUUUGAAAUAAAUAAAUAAUAAAUACAAUAUUCAACUAAUAUAUAAGAAAAAUCAACAAAUUUUACAUGCCAAUUAUUGUUAACAAUUUUUCUUAUUGAUUUCUCUAAAAUUUAUAUGCUUCUUUUUAACAAAUAGCUGCAAAUAAAGAAAGAAAAUAGAAGAGUUGCAUGGAUUGAUAGAUGUUUUCAAUACUAGAAAUAUCAUAUAAAUUCACAAUUGCGAUUCAUAUGACUAAAAAAAUGAAACAAAAAACACAACUCUAAAGAGGCAAAUAAAAUUACAACCGCCUUAAAAAAUAAAACCCUAGUCAAGAGUGCUUUGCUUAGUAUCCUAGAGAGAACAGAUUUCUGUGGCUUAGGAUGGAGGAGAGUGGUGGCGCAGAGGGUUUUAAAGGAGAUGCGAUCUCUCUUCUGGCGGAGGAAUUAAUCCAAUUUUCAAUCAAAAGUUUGAUGGUGGUACCAAGUGAAAAACCUACCUUGUUGUGCACAAUAUGGACGAAGAAAUUCUAUAAUCCAGAUAGUUUUCGGGCACAGAUGAAAAGUAUUUGGAAGACAAGAAAGAAGUUCGAGAUUAAAUUGGAAGGACAAAAUCUAUUUUUGAUCAUGUUUGAAAGUGAAGAAGAUUUGGAAUUAAUUAUGGAGGGGCAGCCAUGGCUAUUCCGGAAAAAUUUAAUAAUUUUUGAUCGGCUGGAUAGAUCAAUAGAAAGAAGUCAAAUUUGACUUAAUUCAUCCCUUUUUUGGAUUAAGAUUGGACCAUGUUCUCCAGAAUUUGAUAAAAAAGAUUUGAUGCAUGCUGUAGGGGUUACUUUUGGAGGCGUUUUCAGAUCCGAAAUAAACGGGGAAUUCUGUCGGCUGAGAGUCAAGCUAGAUGUGCAAAAACCCUUGCGAAUGGGGUAUUUUCGUCUCAACAGAAAAUCAAAGUAAGUCCUGGAUUCCUUUUAAAUAUGAAAAAUUACCUACAUUCUAUUUCGAUUGUGGAAAGAUAGGGUAUGGGCUCAUGGAGUGCCAAGAGUUCACACCUGAAGAAAGAAACAAAAUCAGAAUUGAUCCUCCUUUUUCACUAGCUUUGAAAGCAGAAUUAAAAUUAGUUGGAAAAGAGAGUUUAGUAUUUAAGGCCAGUUCAAAAAAGAUGCAACCCCAAUGUUUAUAAGUAGGAAAUACUGAGAUUUUCCCUGAAUUAAAUUUACAAGUGAACGAAAAUAAUAUUAUGUCCCAAGCUAAUUCACAAGACAUAGAGAAAGAGCUAGCAUUGAAGUUGCAGGAGGGUAAAAUAGAUACUGAAGAUAAGGUGACUGGUGUAAUUAAAAAUUCUACAGGAAUUCUGAAAUAAGCAAGGAAAGUGAGUUGGAAGCGAGUCGAGAUAGAAAGAGGGGUAGAUGCUUAUAAUGGCGAAAGUAUAUUGAGGAAAAGGAAAGCAGAAGAGAUUGCUUUUAAAGGAGAUGACCUAGGAUUCUCUCGUGAAGAUGAAACAAAAAGAAUACAGUAUGAGGGCAAAGAAAGUCAAACUACAGACAAUACAAUUUUUUCGGAUGAAUAUUUCCCCCAGAGUUAUGAUUUUCAUCAAUAUAGAUCGGCAGCUGCCAAGAGGCAUGCCGACCGGGCACAAUGAAAACCAUAUGCUGGAAUGUCUGUGGAUUGGGGAGUCCACGGGCAACACGAAGGCUUUGGUAUUUGCUGAAGCAACAUAAGCCCCAGAUGGUUUUCUUUAUGGAGACCAAAAUUGAUAGAAAGCGCAUGGAAAAAUUUCAGAGGAGAUGUGGUUUUGAGAAUGGAAUUGAUGUAGGAGCAGAAGGUUCUAGAAGGGGAAUUUGUAUGGCGUGGAAAACAGGAAUUACUGUAGUUCUUAAAAAUUUCUCAAGAAAUCAUAUUGAUGUAAUGGUAAAGGACGAAAAUUUCAAUGAAAAAUGGAGAUUUACUGGAUUCUAUGGUUCGUCUUAUGUUCAGGACAAGAAUGCCUCAUGGAAUUUAUUAAGGCAAUUGGGUAAAGAUCAAAACCAUCCUUGUCUAGUUUGUGGCUAUUUUAAUGAAAUAAUGUAUUCUUUUGAAAAAAGUAGAGGUCAAUCGAGGGAAGAAAAAAGAAUGGAAGCUUUUCGCGAAGUUCUUAAUGAAUGUCAAUUAAUGGACGUGGGUUACAUGGGGGUUUGGUUCACAUGCGAGGGUGGAAACUUACCGAAAACAAAUAUUAAAGAAAGACUUAAUAGAGGCGUGGCAAAUGAGAAAUGGAUGCAACUUUUUCCAAAUGGAACUAUUCAUCAUUUAACACAUGCGAUUUCAGAUCACUACCCCUUACUUAUAAGUACUAACAGUGGGAAAAGUAGUAAUAGAAGCCAAAGUUUCAAAUUCGAAGCAUGGUGGAUAAUGGAGGAAUCUUUCGAACAAGAGGUUAGAAUAGCGUGGGAGUCUUCGGAUAGAUCUAUAUGCGAAAAACUAGAUAGGCUAAAAUUUAGCCUAGUGAGAUGGGCGAGUGCAAUAAAGAAAGAACGAGUUGGUUUAAAGAACAGGCUCACAAAGGACCUUGAAGAAUUAAUGGCAAGCGAAAGAGAAGAUAUCACUAUGGAAAAGCUGAUUGAUACUAGGAUCCGACUCAAUAUGGAGAUUGAUAAAGAUGAAAUGUAUUGGGAACAAAGGGCAUGAGCUAACUAGCUUCUAUUAGAGGAUAAGAACACAUCCUUUUUUCAUAAGUAUGCAUCAGUACGUAAACAAAUAAACACCAUUAAUAGGUUGGAAGAUGAUAGAGGACAAGAAAUCACUGAUGACUUGGCAAUUAAUGAGGCUACUUCAAAUUAUUUCAAAAAUCUAUUCACAUCGAAGGGUGUGGGAAAUUUAUCCCAUAUACUAAAAGUAAUAAAUAGUAGUAUUUUAGCUAAUAUAAAUGUAAUUUUGCUUACAGCAGAAGAGGUUUUUUCAACUCUAAAAGGAAUGGGGGCCACUAAAGCGGCAGGCCAUGAUGGUUUUUCAGCACUAUUUUUUCAAAAAUUCUGGCACAUUGUAGGUAAGGAUGUUGAGAAAUUCUGUUUGGGAAUUCUAAAUGAUGGAAAGAAUUUUGAUUUGGUAAAUCUUACCGAUAUUGUACUUAUCCCAAAACUGCCAAAACCUACAAGUCUAGCUAAUUUCAGUCCUAUCAGCCUAUGCACAGUUCUAUACAAAAUUGUGGUAAAAACAAUUGCUAAUUGUUUUCAAAGGGUCAUUGGAAGAAUCAUAAACAAGGCCCAAAGUGCUUUUGUUCCAGGAAGACUAAUUACAGAUAACGUGCUAAUAGCCUAUAAACUCCUUCACACAUUGCGGAAGAAAAGGACCGGGUUAAACCUGAUAUGAGCAAAACUUAUGACAAAGUUGAAUGGAUUUUUCUUAAGGAAGUUAUGCUGAGAAUGAAAUAUGCAAAGGAAUGGGUGUCAUUGAUUAUGAAAUGUAUCUCCACAGCCUCCUACACAAUCAACAUCAAUAGAUGAAGAGAAUUGUUCUUAAACCCAUCCGAGGGCUCCGUCAAGGUGAUCCACUCAGCCCUUUUCUGUUUCUAAUAUGCAAUGAGGGACUUUCAUCUUUAGUAAGAAUAGCGACAACUGAUGGUUUACUAAGAGGAGUAAGAGCAAGUCAAAGAGGGCCAGCGAUUUCCCACAUACUGUUUGCAGAUAAUAGUAUUAUGUUUGGCCAAGCGGCAUAUAGAGGAGCACGUAUCUUAAAAGGUAUCUUGAAAGAGUACGAACAGUGUUCAGGACAAUGUGUGAAUUUGAGCAAGUCAAUAAUUUUCUACAGCUCAAAUACAACGGAAAGAGACAAAACGGAGGUAUCAACAGUAGUAGGGGUGAAAUGCUCCACAAAUUUGGAAAAAUAUCUUGGACUCCCUAAUGUGGUAGGUAGACGGAAGAAGGAAGCUUUUCAAAAUAUAAAGGAUAAAAUCAAAUCAAAAAUCGAUAGUUGGAGCACAAGAUUAUUGUCACAAGGGGGCAAGGAGGUUUUUAUCAAGUCAUUGCUUCAAGCAAUUCCAGCAUAUGUUAUGUCAUGUUUUCUCUUACCAAAAUCUUUUUGUGGAGAGUUGGAAAAUAUUUUUGCGAGAUUCUGUUGCCAAAAAGGGCAGGGUAGAAAAAAGAUACAUUGGUGUCACUGGAAAUAUAUGUGCCGAUCAAAAGAAGGGGGUAUGGGAAUCAGGAAUAUGUCACAAUUUAAUAUCUCAUUAUUAGCUAAGCAAGGAUGGAGGAUUAUUAAUAAUCAGGAUUCACUGGUUAUACAAGUUUUUAAAGCAAAAUAUUUUCUGGAUGAGCACUUUUUAAAUUCUCAAUUGGGAAAAACUAGCUCCUAUAUCUGGAAAAGCAUAUGGGCAGCAAGGGGUAUUUUAGAAAAAGGUUAUGUGUUAGAAGGUUGGUACAGGUUCAAAUAUUUCCAUUAAUGAUGAUGCGUGGAUUCCAGAUGCUGUUAAUUUUAAAGUAUCAACGUCGAUGUUGGAAAAAUUCUCCGGAUACCUUUAGCAUGCACACCUCACGACAAUCUACUUGUGUGGGGAGGUGAUCAUUCAGGGGAAUUCUCGGUACGCAGCGCCUAUAAACUAUUACAAAUUUCUGAUGAACUUCCUAGAGCUUAUGCUUUACAAACCAACUACGGGGAUUUUUACAAUAAAUUAUGGCAAUUAAAUUUACCGACCAAAAUAAAGAUUACAAUAUGGAGAAUUGCAUGGAACUAUCUACCUACGAAGGUGAAUAUGCAAUAUCGAAAACUGAUCAGUAACACAAACUGUCCUCGAAGUGAAGAAAGGAAUGAAACAACCGAUCAUAUCUUCAGAAUGUGGCCUUCACAAUGGAAGUUUGGGCACUAUUAAAACUUCAAAAUAUUCUCAUGAAUCCAGACAUGGAUUUUAUACAAUGGAUUACCUGGGCCUCUGGUCAGCUUAAUACGUGCCAGAACAGACUCUUCUGCUAUGGCCUUUGGGCUAUCUGGGGUGAAAGAAACAAAAAAGUACAUGAGGAAAAAACCAGCACAGGGCAAGAAAUAGUGAACUUCAUCAAUAACUAUCUGUUUGAACUUAAUGGUCCUGAAAAGGAAAAGUCAGUAAGAGAAGAGGAACAUAAAAGAUGGACCCAACCACCUAGCGAGUUCGUCAAAAUUAAUUUUGAUGGUGCCUAUGAUUCGACUCAUCAACAAUCUGCCUCAAGAGUUGUAGCUAGAAACACUGAAGGAAUCAUUUUACACACCUGCUCAGAUAUUCAUCACGAUGUAACGUUAGCCUUCACUGCUGAAGCAAUCGCGUGUCGAAAAGCUGUCCAAAUAGAAGUAGAAUAAGAAUGGCCGAAGAUCAUCAUAAAAGGGGAUUCCCUCACAACAAUAAAGAAAUGUUUGUCAGAAAGUCAAGAUCGAUCCUGAAUUGGAGCAUAUAUUCACAAUAUUAAGCAAAAACUAAAUAGAUUUAGGAGUAUCAUGUUCAAGUUUACACCAAGAUCGACAAAUGUUCUCGCGCAUAUAGUGGCAACAGAAUCGUUAAAAUGAAGGAAGAGUUAUACCUGAAAAACGGUCCCAGAAUAUGCUGAGAAACAACAACAGAUCAACUGGAGAAAAGAACCAGACUGAGGAGGAAAUGAAGAAGAAACACAUAAGAGGAAAGCAAAGGAAGCAGAGGCAUCAGUUUUGAAGAACACCUUUCCAUAAACUGAACUGUCAAAAGCAAAGAAAAGUAAUAAGAUUUUCAGAUGAAAAGACAAGGUUCGGCUGUUUAUGACUGGGCAUUAAUUAGAAGCAAUAAUGAGGAACUCUGUAGACUCUCAGAAAAAUAUCUAGAUUUUUUAAC
Molecule: long non-coding RNA, 25595 nt
Filed under: Gossypium barbadense (sea-island cotton)
Lineage: Eukaryota; Viridiplantae; Streptophyta; Magnoliopsida; Malvales; Malvaceae
Description: long non-coding RNA (GBAR_LNC009251)
Source: RNAcentral